Molecule: ribosomal RNA, 747 nt
Filed under: Dietzia sp. YIM M10497
Lineage: Bacteria; Bacillati; Actinomycetota; Actinomycetes; Mycobacteriales; Dietziaceae
Description: bacterial SSU rRNA
Rfam family: Bacterial small subunit ribosomal RNA
Source: RNAcentral
GGCCCCUUCGGGGGUACACGAGUGGCGAACGGGUGAGUAACACGUGGGUAAUCUGCCCUGCACUUCGGGAUAAGCCUGGGAAACCGGGUCUAAUACCGGAUAUGAACUCCUGCCGCAUGGUGGGGGUUGGAAAGUUUUUCGGUGCAGGAUGAGCCCGCGGCCUAUCAGCUUGUUGGUGGGGUAAUGGCCUACCAAGGCGACGACGGGUAGCCGGCCUGAGAGGGUGAUCGGCCACACUGGGACUGAGACACGGCCCAGACUCCUACGGGAGGCAGCAGUGGGGAAUAUUGCACAAUGGGCGAAAGCCUGAUGCAGCGACGCCGCGUGGGGGAUGACGGUCUUCGGAUUGUAAACCCCUUUCAGUAGGGACGAAGCGCAAGUGACGGUACCUGCAGAAGAAGCACCGGCUAACUACGUGCCAGCAGCCGCGGUAAUACGUAGGGUGCGAGCGUUGUCCGGAAUUACUGGGCGUAAAGAGCUCGUAGGCGGUUUGUCACGUCGUCUGUGAAAUCCCUCGGCUUAACCGGGGGCGUGCAGGCGAUACGGGCAGACUUGAGUACUACAGGGGAGACUGGAAUUCCUGGUGUAGCGGUGAAAUGCGCAGAUAUCAGGAGGAACACCGGUGGCGAAGGCGGGUCUCUGGGUAGUAACUGACGCUGAGGAGCGAAAGCAUGGGUAGCGAACAGGAUUAGAUACCCUGGUAGUCCAUGCCGUAAACGGUGGGCGCUAGGUGUGGGGUCCUUCCAC